Molecule: transfer RNA, 73 nt
Filed under: Stegodyphus mimosarum
Lineage: Eukaryota; Metazoa; Arthropoda; Arachnida; Araneae; Eresidae
Description: tRNA-Thr for anticodon CGU
Rfam family: tRNA
About the family: Transfer RNA (tRNA) molecules are approximately 80 nucleotides in length. Their secondary structure includes four short double-helical elements and three loops (D, anti-codon, and T loops).
Source: Rfam by way of RNAcentral
GCCUUCGUGGUGUAGUGGUCAGCACACUCGGCGCGUAACCGAGAGGUCCGUGGUUCGAUUCCCGGCGAAGGUG